This 492-nucleotide ribosomal RNA is filed under the name uncultured bacterium. RNAcentral describes it as "partial 16S ribosomal RNA". It matches the Rfam family "Bacterial small subunit ribosomal RNA", at positions 29 to 507 of the family's 1533-position model. The record is from RNAcentral.
AGUGAACGCUGGCGGUAGGCCUAACACAUGCAAGUCGAACGGCAGCACAGUAAGAGCUUGCUCUUACGGGUGGCGAGUGGCGGACGGGUGAGGAAUACAUCGGAAUCUACUUUUUCGUGGGGGAUAACGUAGGGAAACUUACGCUAAUACCGCAUACGACCUACGGGUGAAAGCAGGGGAUCUUCGGACCUUGCGCGAUCGGAUGAGCCGGUGUCGGAUUAGCUAGUUGGCGGGGUAAAGGCCCACCAAGGCGACGAUCCGUAGCUGGUCUGAGAGGAUGAUCAGCCACACUGGAACUGAGACACGGUCCAGACUACUACGGGAGGCAGCAGUGGGGAAUAUUGGACAAUGGGCGCAAGCCUGAUCCAGCCAUACCGCGUGGGUGAAGAAGGCCUUCGGGUUGUAAAGCCCUUUUGUUGGGAAAGAAAAGCAGCAGGUUAAUACCCCGCUGUUCUGACGGUACCCAAAGAAUAAGCACCGGCUAACUUCGUG